GUCCCCAUAUAGACACUGGAAGUUUUUGUGUGCAGGAGAGCAAGACUGCAAUGCUUUAGCUGGAAGGUUAUUGUAUCAUCCACUUGUUGAAUUGCCAUGGAUCAACAGUUUCUCAAUUAGAAGAAGACAAACGAGAAGAUAAAGUAUUUGGUAACUGUAAAGUUUUAAGUAGGAGCUCAGGAAGAUUUUGAGAACAUCUGGUCAGAAUGUAUUUCUUUUUAGAGCCUUGCCUGCCUUCGUUAUUUCACCGUCCAUUAGCAUCUCACUAGAAGAGGGAAGAAAAGAAGAGGAGGUGAAAUUAAGCAAUCAACUUUGUUACUUGUUAACAAAAGGUGGCAAAGAGUUUAAGUACCAGUUACAAAGAAACAACAACAGUUUUCUUCUCAAUCCCUUCUGUAAAAGCCCAGUUGGGCCGGGCGCGGUGGCACAUGCCUGUAAUACCAGCACUUUGGGAGCC
This is a long non-coding RNA of Cebus imitator (Panamanian white-faced capuchin), 457 nucleotides long. RefSeq lists it as uncharacterized. The transcript is spliced from 3 exons. The record is from RefSeq and is a predicted model, not a curated record. NCBI's taxonomy places the organism in Eukaryota, Metazoa, Chordata, Mammalia, Primates, Cebidae.